RNAcentral lists this ribosomal RNA (253 nucleotides) under uncultured bacterium. Its description in RNAcentral is "partial 16S ribosomal RNA". It matches the Rfam family "Bacterial small subunit ribosomal RNA", at positions 524 to 776 of the family's 1533-position model. The record is from RNAcentral.
UACGUAGGGUGCGAGCGUUAAUCGGAAUUACUGGGCGUAAAGGGCGCGUAGGCGGUUCUUUAAGUCAGGCGUGAAAGCCCUGGGCUCAACCUGGGAGUGGCGCUUGAUACUGGAGGACUAGAGAGUGGGAGAGGUUGGUGGAAUUCCCAGUGUAGAGGUGAAAUUCGUAGAUAUUGGGAAGAACACCGGUGGCGAAGGCGGCCAACUGGACCAUUUCUGACGCUGAGGCGCGAAAGCGUGGGGAGCAAACAGG